UCCCUGGUGGUCCAAUGGCUAAGACUCCACACUCCCAAUGCAGGGGGUCUGGGUUCGAUCCCUGGUCAGGGAA
Molecule: transfer RNA, 73 nt
Filed under: Bos taurus (domestic cattle)
Lineage: Eukaryota; Metazoa; Chordata; Mammalia; Artiodactyla; Bovidae
Also listed under: 5 other names
Rfam family: tRNA
About the family: Transfer RNA (tRNA) molecules are approximately 80 nucleotides in length. Their secondary structure includes four short double-helical elements and three loops (D, anti-codon, and T loops).
Source: Rfam by way of RNAcentral